Molecule: long non-coding RNA, 3291 nt
Filed under: Drosophila guanche
Lineage: Eukaryota; Metazoa; Arthropoda; Insecta; Diptera; Drosophilidae
Source: RNAcentral
CAAGAGGCCGCUAAAAUUGUUCGUUCUCCCGGCACAGCCCAAGGAUUUGCCAUCCGCCUUAGCUCUAGCUCGCGAGGCCGAAAAUAGCAUUGAGAGAAGCGCAUUUGCCGCUACGUAUGCAAAGGCGAUCGAGGAUAAAAACCAUUCAGGCGACGGCAAUAGACAGGGUCAUCGGGCCCAGGCCAGACAAGGUAGAGGUCAGGAAAAGAACCCAAAUUUUGUGGGAAAAAGUAAUCAAAAUAGGCAGCAACAGGGUGAUCCUUGGCCAAAGCCAAACGAUAAAGAGGCCCCACAACAAAACCAAGUGCAGCCUAUGGAAGUUGACCCAUCGAUGUCUAGGUUUAGGCAACAGACCAAUUGGGGGAAACCACAGAGCGACGUCACACAGGGCGAAGCUCAGAAAAGGCGGAACACGUCAGAUCGUAUAUCUGGGCAAAGACGCCAACGGAUAAAUAAUAUAAUACAGCAGGCCCCUAACCAAGGGGAACAAGAAUAUGCAAACUUAGCCGAGGCCGCGGUUGCGGAUAUUGACGAAGAAAGUGACUCGGCUAGCGGCAACGACCUGUUGAAUUUUUUUAGGUAGCGCUCCCAAUUGCCGUUUGUCGAGCGACAGUUGGCUGGCAGAACACUAAAAAUUUUAAUCGACACUGGUGCGGCUAAAAAUUACGUAAAGCCCGUAAAGGAGCUGAAAAACGUAACUUCGGUCGACACCCCCUUCACCGUGAGCUCGAUACAUGGCUCUAGUGAAAUAAAAAACAAGUGCAUAAUGAAUAUUUUCGGGCAAAACGCCCCAUUUUUUUUGGUAGACACUCUAACUACGUAUGAUGCCAUUAUAUGUUCCGAUUUGCUAACGUGAGCGGGAGCGGCAUUGAACCUGCGUAGCAGAACAAUCAGAUACGGAAACGUUACUGAACAACUUAGGUUCCACAACUGUGACAAUGUAAAUUUCACCAAAAUCGAUAACCUGGUGCUCGGUAAAAUCCGAGUUUAAAAAGAUGAUACUGAAGAGAAUUAAAGUUUUUUCGACCUCUAACGAGGCGCUUCCCUUUAACACCUCAGUCGUCGCCACCAUCCGAACUGUGAAUGACGAACCAGUCUACUCGAAAUUAUACCCCUACCCUAUGGGAGCAGCAGACUUCGUUAACAAAGAAGUCACAGAACUGCUGAAGGACGGCAUAAUCAGGCCAUCUAGGUCGCCAUACAACAGCCCAAUUUGGGUUGUAGACAAAAAGAAAUCUGACGCCAACGGCAGCAGGAAAAAGCGGCUGGUAAUCGACUUCAGAAAACUGAACGAGCGAACAAUUGCCGAUCGAUACCCUAUGCCGAGCAUACCCAUGAUUUUAGCGAACUUGGGAAAGGCAAGAUUUUUUACUACCCUAGAUCUAAAAUCAGGGUACCACCAGAUAUACAUGGCGGAAAAAGACCGUGAAAAACUUCGUUUUCAAUUAACUGAGGGAAAUAUGAGUUUUCCCGGUUACCCUUUGGACUAAAGAAUGCUGAGGGCAUUUUUCAAAGGCCAAUCGAGGAUGUUCUACGAGAACAAAUUGGGAAAAUAUGUUAUGUCAUUGUAGAUGAUGUAAUAAUUUUUUCCGAAAACGAAAAUGAUCACGUUAAACACAUCGAGACAGUGUUAAAACGCCUCUGCGAUGCAAUUAUGAGAGUGGCCCCAGAAAAGACAAUGUUCUUUAAAGAAAGCGUAGAGUUCUUAGGCUUCAUAGUUACCAGGGGAGUAGCCAAGACCGACCCAGAAAUAGUAAGGGCAAUAAAGGAACACACUGAACCCAAAACACUGUUCAGCCUCAGGUCCUUCCUCGGGCUGGCGAGCUAUUACAGAAGCUUUGUCAGAGAUUUCGCGACAAUAGCGAGACCCUUAACCGCAUUACUCAAAGGAGAAAAUGGCACAGUCAGCAAACACAUGUCCAAGAAAGUUGCGAUUCAGUUCGAUGAAACGCAACGCAACGCAUUCGACCGUCUGCGAAACAUUUUGGCGCCAGAGGACGUCAUCCUUACGUACCCUGAUUUCAAACUACCCUUCGUUCUAACUACCGAUGCCUCAGCAAGUGGCAUUGGGGCGGUUCUGUCCCAAAACGGCAGGCCAAUCACAAUGAUAUCGCGAACACUAAAAGAUUGCGAGCAGACCGUGGGCUUUAAAAAGCAGUACGAUCGGCUUCUAGCCAUGGAAUCUCAAUUCAGCAGUUUUAAAGUGCUGAAUGAGUCUCCUAGGCGCAAAAAAGUCACUCCUCGUGAUCUGCAAGUGCCUGUCCCUCGACCGCUCGCUGCUGAUCAACUGUCUCCGUCCACUCCGAUAGUGCAGCAGCUAAUUUCGUUCGCUACUCCAAGGGCAACGACAACUGCUGGUGAUCAAGUUUCGGCUACCGAAUCGAUCAUCUCGGAGAACAUGCAGCCAGUUAGUACUGUAGCGUCCGUGUCUGUCGAGUCCGUUCCAAAGCCCAUCCCAUCUAUUUCGAUCCCACCAGUUAAUAAACGUCCCGGACCACCGGAUAUUGCCGUCACAGGUACCAGAUCUGUGGUGCCAAAACCUCUGGUGGGAGUCUCACCAAAGCGACAAGUGUUUGUCUCUCGGCUUUCCGCUGACCUCACAUCUAAUGAUGUAACUGCUUUUAUACAAAGCAAAAUAAAAGCCGUUGGCUUAAAGGUGGAGAAGUUUAAUUUCUCAUAUGCCAGGGAGAUAUCCUCUUUCAAGAUUAGCGUGUCUCCAACUCAUUUCGAGACCAUUUGCUCUUCCAAAUUUUGGCCAGAGCACCUGGUUGUGAAAGAGUUUAAGGCUAAGAAGAAAAAUAGGCCCCCCAUAACUCUUCCUAGUAGUGAGGCCAGUGGUCCUUCCUCCUCUGCUCCAUUCCCCUCUUCCCACUGCAAUUCCUUGCAGUCAAAAAACUAACAUCCCUCUUUGUAGCCUAUCAAAAUGCUCGCGGCUUACGUAGUAAGCUGAGCACUCUUUUUAUGGAUAGUUUCACAUUUUCAUCCCAUGUUAUUGUGUUUACCGAAACCUGGUUAAAGCCGGACAUUCUUAGUUCCGAAGUUUUGGCAGAUCGGUACACAACUUAUAGAAAUUAUCGUUCGUCUCGACGUGGAGGAGGGGUUCUGAUUGCAGUAAACUCUAACUUUACGUCGGAACUUUUCAUAGUCCAGGUCUCACAAGACCUGGAAUUCCUCUGUGUUAGACUGAUUCUUCCCGGCCAGUCUAUUUAUGUCACUUGCUCGUAUAUUCCACCGACUUCGGAUGUACUAAUAUACGAGCAGCAUUUGUCUGCCUUAAAAACUGUUUCUUCC